Molecule: ribosomal RNA, 267 nt
Filed under: uncultured bacterium
Lineage: Bacteria
Description: partial 16S ribosomal RNA
Rfam family: Bacterial small subunit ribosomal RNA
Source: RNAcentral
GUCCACGCCUUAAACGAUGUAUGCUUGGUGUUGGGUCGCAAGACUCAGUGCCGGAGGAAACCUAUUAAGCAUACCACCUGGGGAGUACGAUCGCAAGGUUGAAACUCAAAAGGAAUUGACGGGGCCCGCACAAGCGGUGGAUCAUGUGGUUUAAUUCGAUGCAACGCGAAGAACCUUACCCGGGCUCGAAGUGCAGGUAGUAAAGAGAUGAAAAGUCAAAAUGAACCGUUAAGUCGGUUGCCUGCAGAGGUGCUGCAUGGCUGUCGU